This is a non-coding RNA of Schistosoma rodhaini, 46 nucleotides long. The record is from Rfam. Lineage: Eukaryota; Metazoa; Platyhelminthes; Trematoda; Strigeidida; Schistosomatidae.
GCACUACUGAAGAGUUCUACAAUAGGACGAAAUGGUCGUCCAGUGU